Molecule: ribosomal RNA, 574 nt
Filed under: uncultured freshwater bacterium
Lineage: Bacteria
Description: bacterial SSU rRNA
Rfam family: Bacterial small subunit ribosomal RNA
Source: RNAcentral
AGAGUUUGAUCCUGGCUCAGAUUGAACGCUGGCGGCAUGCCUUACACAUGCAAGUCGAACGGCAGCACGGGUGCUUGCACCUGGUGGCGAGUGGCGAACGGGUGAGUAAUAUAUCGGAACGUACCUUAUCGUGGGGGAUAACGCAGCGAAAGCUGCGCUAAUACCGCAUACGCCCUGAGGGGGAAAGCGGGGGACCGUAAGGCCUCGCGCGAUUAGAGCGGCCGAUAUCUGAUUAGCUUGUUGGUGGGGUAAAAGCCCACCAAGGCGACGAUCAGUAGCUGGUCUGAGAGGACGAUCAGCCACACUGGGACUGAGACACGGCCCAGACUCCUACGGGAGGCAGCAGUGGGGAAUUUUGGACAAUGGGGGCAACCCUGAUCCAGCAAUGCCGCGUGAGUGAAGAAGGCCUCCGGGUUGUAAAGCUCUUUUGUCAGGGAAGAAACAGCAGCUCUAACACAGUCUGCGAAUGACGGUACCUGAAGAAUAAGCACCGGCUAACUACGUGCCAGCAGCCGCGGUAAUACGUAGGGUGCAAGCGUUAAUCGGAAUUACUGGGCGUAAAGCGUGCGCAGGC